This is a non-coding RNA of Mycena albidolilacea, 93 nucleotides long. NCBI's taxonomy places the organism in Eukaryota, Fungi, Basidiomycota, Agaricomycetes, Agaricales, Mycenaceae. The record is from the annotation of a GenBank genome assembly.
GGUUCGAUGGUGUAGUUGGUUAUCACGUCUGUCUCACAUACCGAUGUUGGUCACGUGCACAGGAGGUCUCCGGUUCGAACCCGGGUCGAACCA